Lathyrus oleraceus (garden pea) is the source of this 1351-nucleotide long non-coding RNA. RefSeq lists it as uncharacterized. Lineage: Eukaryota; Viridiplantae; Streptophyta; Magnoliopsida; Fabales; Fabaceae. The record is from RefSeq and is a predicted model, not a curated record. The transcript has 6 exons.
CUCACAUGCCAUUAUAUAAACUAGUAAAAACCUUAUUCUCAAACCACUAUUUGUUUCUGAGAUUAGAAAUUUUCUUCAAAGCACUGGACUUUCUUCCCUUAACAAUACUCGCUGUUUUUUCUUAUUCCAAGUUAAUCUAUUACCAUCCGUUCUCAGCUCAAUAUGAGUUCUGAUGAAAAUCAGUUGAAUGAGGAUUUGCAAGAGGUGAAUAAUGUUUCACCUCAAAACAAUUUGUCUGGAGAUCAAAUAAGUAAUCACUCAUAUGAAUAUGAUGAUGAUCAGUCGAAUGAGGAUUUUUAUGAGGAUUUAGAUCAGUUUGCUGAGGAUAUUCAUGAGUAUCCGAGGAAUCUACGGCGGAAUGAGCAUCUAAAUCGAUUGAAUGAGGAUAUUCAUGAGUAUGAGAGAAAUCUGCAGCAGAAUGAUCAUCCAGAUCAUCAGUGGAAUGAGGUUUUUUAUGGGCAUAGCAGGAAUCUGCGGCAGAAUGAUCAUCUAGAUCAUCAGAUGAAUGAGGUUUUUUAUGGGCAUAGCAGGAAUCUACCGCAGAAUGAUCAUCUAGAUCAUCAGAUGAAUGAGGUUUUUUAUGGACAUAGCGGGAAUCUGCCGCAGAAUGAUCAUCUAGAUCAUCAGAUGAAUGGGGUUUUUUAUGGGCAUAGGAGAAAUCUGCGGCAGAAUGAUCAUCUAGAUCAUCAGAUGAAUGAGGUUUUUUAUGGGCAUAACAGGAAUCUGCCGCAGAAUGAUCAUCUAGAUCAUCAGAUGAAUGGGGUUUUUUAUGGUCAUAGGAGGAAUCUGCGGCAGAAUGAUCAUCUAGAUCAUCAGAUGAAUGGGGUUUUUUAUGAUCAUAGGAGGAAUCUGCAACAGAGUAAUCAUCUAGAUCAUCAGAUGAAUGGGGUUUUUUUACGGGCAUAGGAGGAAUCUGCGGCAGAAUGCAAUUUUUGAGCAUUCUUACCGUUGUUUUUCGGUCUCAUCUCUCGUAAGGUCAAUUCUGGAAUCUGGUGAUAAAAUUAUCAUGCCUGCUUCGGCUCUAGACCGCCUCGAACUACUCACUGUGGAGUUUUAGAAUUCACAGCUGACGAAGGGACGGUGUCCUUACCUAAGAAGAAGACAAAAACCAAGAGUUCCGGAAAGCUUGUUUUUGGGUCAAAAGGAAAUGCAACUAAUGUUUGUCUAAAAAAUGAAAGUCUAGAGUCACCUAAGAAGAAGACAAAAACCAAAGAAUUUCAAGCUUUCACAUGAAAGAAGUAUUCAUGAAUAGGUUGAUCCUUGUUGGAUUGUUUUUCAGAUAUUGAUAUUAGUAGAGAACAGUUUAAUUUACAUAAACUUUUAGAAGUUACUCUUCAAUAUACAUUUCUUU